Molecule: ribosomal RNA, 137 nt
Filed under: uncultured eukaryote
Lineage: Eukaryota
Description: partial 18S ribosomal RNA
Rfam family: Eukaryotic small subunit ribosomal RNA
Source: RNAcentral
UGGUGGAGUGAUUUGUCUGCUUAAUUGCGAUAACGAACGAGACCUUAACCUGCUAAAUAGCCCGCGCCGCUCCGGCGGCGCGCCGGCUUCUUAGAGGGACUAUCGGCUCAAGCCGAUGGAAGUUUGAGGCAAUAACA